UACGUAGGGUGCAAGCGUUAAUCGGAAUUACUGGGCGUAAAGCGUACGCAGGCGGCUAUGCAAGACAGGAGUGAAAUCCCCGGGCUCAACCUGGGAACUGCAUUUGUGACUGCAUGGCUAGAGUUUGUCAGAGGGGGGUGGAAUUCCACGUGUAGCAGUGAAAUGCGUAGAGAUGUGGAGGAACACCGAUGGCGAAGGCAGCCCCCUGGGAUGUGACUGACGCUCAUGUACGAAAGCGUGGGGAGCAAACAGG
This 253-nucleotide ribosomal RNA is filed under the name uncultured bacterium. RNAcentral's name for it is "partial 16S ribosomal RNA". It matches the Rfam family "Bacterial small subunit ribosomal RNA", at positions 524 to 776 of the family's 1533-position model. The record is from RNAcentral.